GACGGGGGGUCCAAGCGUUGUUCGGAAUCAUUGGGCGUAAAGCGGGCGUAGGUGGCUAUGUAAGUCAGGAGUGAAAGCCCUGGGCUCAACCCAGGAAGUGCUCUUGAUACUGCGUAGCUUGAAUGUGGGAGAGGGUAGUAGAAUUCCAGGUGUAGUGGUGAAAUACGUAGAUAUCUGGAGGAAUACCGGUGGCGAAGGCGGCUACCUGGCCCAACAUUGACACUGAGGCCCGAAAGCGUGGGGAUCAAACAGG
Molecule: ribosomal RNA, 253 nt
Filed under: uncultured bacterium
Lineage: Bacteria
Description: partial 16S ribosomal RNA
Rfam family: Bacterial small subunit ribosomal RNA
Source: RNAcentral